UGCGUAGGUGGCGCUGUAAGUCGGGUGUGAAAUCCUGAGGCUUAACCUCGGAACUGCAUUCGAUACUGCGGCGCUUGAGGACUGGAGAGGAGACUGGAAUUCAUGGUGUAGCAGUGAAAUGCGUAGAGAUCAUGAGGAAGACCAGUGGCGAAGGCGGGUCUCUGGACAGUUCCUGACACUGAGGCACGAAGGCCAGGGGAGCAAACG
Molecule: ribosomal RNA, 207 nt
Filed under: uncultured bacterium
Lineage: Bacteria
Description: partial 16S ribosomal RNA
Rfam family: Bacterial small subunit ribosomal RNA
Source: RNAcentral